This is a long non-coding RNA of Aedes aegypti (yellow fever mosquito), 438 nucleotides long. RefSeq lists it as uncharacterized. The transcript is spliced from 2 exons. Lineage: Eukaryota; Metazoa; Arthropoda; Insecta; Diptera; Culicidae. The record is from RefSeq and is a predicted model, not a curated record.
GGUGGACAAAGCAGACUCGCGAUAGACUUUUUUCCUUGCGAAACAACAUUGGUGCAGUUAGUAGGUCAGCAGCUGAACUUCCACAAUGCCGUUGUUGUGUCGCUUUGGUUAUUCGUGCCCAUACUGAUCCGACUCAGAGUGUAGGUUUAAGGCCAAUUUUAGCCAAAGCCGGUUUUUCCGCAACUCACGUGGCAGGAGGAUGGAGCACCCUUGAGGCUUUACCACAAGCACAUUAAUUCAUCUAUGGCUAUAUACGACUGCUUAUCACUACCGAGAGGAUAACAGAUGAGCUAUGACUCGAUCUUCUCCAAGAAGCAGUUUUUGCGGUUACCAACAGCUAAGCAAAAUAAUCAUAGUUCGGUUUGAGUAUUAAUUGAUUAUAACUCUGUUCAAAUUACUUAGUUAAAUAAAUUGAUAUGUAUCUUGUGUUUCAUUCAA